GAUGAACGCUGGCGGCGUGCCUAAUACAUGCAAGUCGAGCGAUCGGACGAGAAGCUUGCUUCUCUGAUGUUAGCGGCGGACGGGUGAGUAACACGUGGAUAACCUACCUAUAAGACUGGGAUAACUUCGGGAAACCGGAGCUAAUACCGGAUAAUAUUUUGAACCGCAUGGUUCAAAAGUGAAAGACGGUCUUGCUGUCACUUAUAGAUGGAUCCGCGCUGCAUUAGCUAGUUGGUAAGGUAACGGCUUACCAAGGCAACGAUGCAUAGCCGACCUGAGAGGGUGAUCGGCCACACUGGAACUGAGACACGGUCCAGACUCCUACGGGAGGCAGCAGUAGGGAAUAUUGCGCAAUGGGCGAAAGCCUGACGGAGCAACGCCGCGUGAGUGAUGAAGGUCUUCGGAUCGUAAAACUCUGUUAUUAGGGAAGAACAUAUGUGUAAGUAACUGUGCACAUCUUGACGGUACCUAAUCAGAAAGCCACGGCUAACUACGUG
RNAcentral lists this ribosomal RNA (497 nucleotides) under uncultured bacterium. RNAcentral describes it as "partial 16S ribosomal RNA". It matches the Rfam family "Bacterial small subunit ribosomal RNA", at positions 28 to 507 of the family's 1533-position model. The record is from RNAcentral.